This is a non-coding RNA of Pelobates cultripes (western spadefoot toad), 360 nucleotides long. The record is from the annotation of a GenBank genome assembly. Lineage: Eukaryota; Metazoa; Chordata; Amphibia; Anura; Pelobatidae.
GUCUUGAUCCGGCCUCAUUUCUCCGUUUCUUAGGCCUAGUGAUCUUAGUAGACUUAUGUUGGACCUGCCUUUUAGAGGGGAACACCAUUCCCCGACCAACCCCGAGCUUAUUUGCCUUAUAGAGUGGGGUCCGCCGGGACCGCUGUGGUUUGCCUUUCGACCGGCGUUUAGCAAGUGUUCCACCAUGUGCGUGGGCAUACAUUGUAGUUGGCGAGGUGCAGGACCUUGUUUGGCUUGGUGGGAGUAAAGCUCCUCUGGCUCGCGCAGGGGGUGGUGGUCCCCUUGGGUCCAGAUGCGGUCCCCGCGAGCCCCCCCUCGGUGGAAUUCUGUGUCGUUCGGGUGUAAUGCCCGAGGUCCGGC